This 500-nucleotide ribosomal RNA is filed under the name uncultured bacterium. RNAcentral's name for it is "bacterial SSU rRNA". It matches the Rfam family "Bacterial small subunit ribosomal RNA", at positions 8 to 554 of the family's 1533-position model. The record is from RNAcentral.
AGAGUUUGAUCAUGGCUCAGAGCGAACGCUGGCGGCAGGCCUAACACAUGCAAGUCGAACGAACUCUUCGGAGUUAGUGGCGGACGGGUGAGUAACACGUGGGAACGUGCCUUUUGGUUCGGAAUAACUCAGGGAAACUUGUGCUAAUACCGAAUGUGCCCUUCGGGGGAAAGAUUUAUCGCCAUUAGAGCGGCCCGCGUCUGAUUAGCUAGUUGGUGAGGUAACGGCUCACCAAGGCAACGAUCCGUAGCUGGUCUGAGAGGAUGAUCAGCCACACUGGGACUGAGACACGGCCCAGACUCCUACGGGAGGCAGCAGUGGGGAAUAUUGGACAAUGGGCGCAAGCCUGAUCCGGCAAUGCCGCGUGAGUGAUGAAGGCCUUAGGGUUGUAAAGCUCUUUCGGCGGGGAAGAUGAUGACGGUACCCGCAGAAGAAGCCCCGGCUAACUUCGUGCCAGCAGCCGCGGUAAUACGAAGGGGGCUAGCGUUGUUCGGAAUUAC